GAUGAACGCUGGCGGCGUGCCUAAUACAUGCAAGUCGAGCGAACAGAUAAGGAGCUUGCUCCUUUGACGUUAGCGGCGGACGGGUGAGUAACACGUGGGUAACCUACCUAUAAGACUGGGAUAACUUCGGGAAACCGGAGCUAAUACCGGAUAACAUUUGGAACCGCAUGGUUCUAAAGUGAAAGAUGGUUUUGCUAUCACUUAUAGAUGGACCCGCGCCGUAUUAGCUAGUUGGUAAGGUAACGGCUUACCAAGGCAACGAUACGUAGCCGACCUGAGAGGGUGAUCGGCCACACUGGAGCGGAGACACGGUCCAGACUCCUACGGGAGGCAGCAGUAGGGAAUCUUCCGCAAUGGGCGAAAGCCUGACAGAGCAACGCCGCGUGAGUGAUGAAGGGUUUCGGCUCGUGAAACUCUGUUAUUAGGGAAGAACAAACGUGUAAGUAACUGUGCACGUCUUGACGGUACCUAAUCAGAAAGCCACGGCUAACUACGUG
This 497-nucleotide ribosomal RNA is filed under the name uncultured bacterium. RNAcentral describes it as "partial 16S ribosomal RNA". It matches the Rfam family "Bacterial small subunit ribosomal RNA", at positions 28 to 507 of the family's 1533-position model. The record is from RNAcentral.